Molecule: ribosomal RNA, 440 nt
Filed under: uncultured bacterium
Lineage: Bacteria
Description: partial 16S ribosomal RNA
Rfam family: Bacterial small subunit ribosomal RNA
Source: RNAcentral
CCUACGGGUGGCAGCAGUGGGGGAUAUUGCACAAUGGGGGGAACCCUGAUGCAGCGACGCCGCGUGAGUGAAGGAGCGUUUCGGCGCGUAAAGCCCUAUUGGCAGGGAAGAAGAGGACGGUACGUGGCCAAGAAGCCCCGGCCAAAUACGUGCCAGCAGCCGCGGUAAUACGGAGGGGGCAAGCGUUAUCCGGAUUUACUGGGGGUAAAGGGGGCGCAGACGGGAAUGCAAGCCAGGAGUGAAAGCCCGGGGCCCAACCCCGAGACUGCUCUUGGAACUGCAUGGCUGGAGUACAGGAGGGGAAGGCGGAAUUCCUAGUGUAGCGGUGAAAUGCGUAGAUAUUAGGAGGAACACCGGUGGCGAAGGCGGCCUGCUGGACUGUGACUGACGUUGAGGCCCGAAGGCGUGGGGAGCAAACAGGAUUAGAUACCCCUGUAGUC